GUGGAGUCAUUGUUGAAAUACCACUCUGGUCACUCUGGAUAUCUAACUUCGGACCCUAAUCGGGUUCAGGGACAGUGCCUGAUGGGUAGUUUAACUGGGGCGGUUGCCUCCCAAAGAGUAACGGAGGCGCCCAAAGGUUCCCUCAACCUGGUUGGCAAUCAGGUGGCGAGUGUAAGUGCACAAGGGAGCUUGACUGUGAGACUGACAAGUCGAGCAGGGACGAAAGUCGGGACUAGUGAUCCGGCAGUGGCUUGUGGAAGCGCUGUCGCUCAACGGAUAAAAGGUACCUCGGGGAUAACAGGCUGAUCUUGCCCAAGAGUCCAUAUCGACGGCAUGGUUUGGCACCUCGAUGUCGGCUCGUCGCAUCCUGGGGCUGGAGUAGGUCCCAAGGGUUGGGCUGUUCGCCCAUUAAAGCGGUACGCGAGCUGGGUUUAGAACGUCGUGAGACAGUUCGGUCCCUAUCCGCUGCGCGCGCAGGAAAUUUGAGAAGAUCUAUCCCUAGUACGAGAGGACCGGGAUGGACGAACCUCUGGUGUGUCAGUUGUUCCGCCAGGAGCACCGCUGAUUAGCUACGUUCGGAACGGAUAACCGCUGAAAGCAUCUAAGCGGGAAGCCGGCUUCGAGAUGAGAUUUCCAUCCCUUCGGGGGAGAGGCUCCCAGCCAGACGACUGGGUUGAUAGGCCGGAUGUGGAAGACAGGACUAAAGACUGUCGGAGCUGACCGGUACUAAUAAGCCGAUAACUUGAUAA
This 749-nucleotide ribosomal RNA is filed under the name Rathayibacter sp. AY1D5. Its description in RNAcentral is "bacterial LSU rRNA". It matches the Rfam family "Bacterial large subunit ribosomal RNA", at positions 2180 to 2925 of the family's 2925-position model. Lineage: Bacteria; Bacillati; Actinomycetota; Actinomycetes; Micrococcales; Microbacteriaceae. The record is from RNAcentral.